UAACAAGGAUUCCCCUAGUAACUGCGAGUGAAGCGGGAAAAGCUCAAAUUUAAAAUCUGGCGGUCUUUUUUGGCUGUCCGAGUUGUAAUUUAGAGAAGCAUUACCCGCGCUGGACCGUAUACAAGUCCUCUGGAAUGGGGCGUCAUAGAGGGUGAGAAUCCCGUCUUUGAUAUGGACUACCAGUGCUUUGUGGUGUGCUCUCGAAGAGUCGAGUUGUUUGGGAAUGCAGCUCAAAAUGGGUGGUAAAUUCCAUCUAAAGCUAAAUACAGGCGAGAGACCGAUAGCGAACAAGUACCGUGAGGGAAAGAUGAAAAGAACUUUGGAAAGAGAGUUAAACAGUACGUGAAAUUGCUGAAAGGGAAACGCUUGAAGUCAGUCGCGUUGGCUGAGAAUCAGCCUUGCUCUUUUGCUUGGUGUACUUCUCAGUCGAUGGGUCAGCAUCAGUUUUGACUGCUGGAUAAAGGUCAGGGGAAUGUGGCAUCUUUGGAUGUGUUAUAGCCCUUGUUCGUAUACAGCAGUUGGGACUGAGGAACUCAGCACGCCGCAAGGCCGGGUUUUCAACCACGUACGUGCUUAGGAUGCUGGCAUAAUGGCUUUAAUCGACCC
Molecule: ribosomal RNA, 606 nt
Filed under: Clitocybula familia
Lineage: Eukaryota; Fungi; Basidiomycota; Agaricomycetes; Agaricales; Porotheleaceae
Description: eukaryotic LSU rRNA
Rfam family: Eukaryotic large subunit ribosomal RNA
Source: RNAcentral